RNAcentral lists this ribosomal RNA (510 nucleotides) under uncultured bacterium. Its description in RNAcentral is "bacterial SSU rRNA". It matches the Rfam family "Bacterial small subunit ribosomal RNA", at positions 8 to 518 of the family's 1533-position model. The record is from RNAcentral.
AGAGUUGAUCCUGGCUUAGGAUGAACGGCUGGCGGCGUGCUUAACACAUGCAAGUCGAACGAAGCAGUUAUUACGAUCCCUUCGGGGUGACGAUUACUGACUGAGUGGCGGACGGGUGAGUAACGCGUGGGUAACCUGCCUUGUACAGGGGGACAACAGUUGGAAACGACUGCUAAUACCGCAUAAGCGCACGAUAUCGCAUGGUAUAGUGUGAAAAGUUAUUUCGGUACAAGAUGGACCCGCGUCUGAUUAGCUAGUUGGUGAGGUAACGGCUCACCAAGGCGACGAUCAGUAGCCGACCUGAGAGGGUGACCGGCCACAUUGGGACUGAGACACGGCCCAAACUCCUACGGGAGGCAGCAGUGGGGAAUAUUGCACAAUGGGCGAAAGCCUGAUGCAGCCGACGCCGCGUGAGCGAAGAAGUAUUUCGGUAUGUAGAGCUCUAUCAGCAGGGAAGAUAAUGACGGUACCUGACUAAGAAGCACCGGCUAAAUACGUGCCAGCCGCCGC